RNAcentral lists this ribosomal RNA (263 nucleotides) under uncultured archaeon. RNAcentral's name for it is "partial 16S ribosomal RNA". It matches the Rfam family "Archaeal small subunit ribosomal RNA", at positions 748 to 1008 of the family's 1478-position model. The record is from RNAcentral.
CAGCCGUAAACGAUGCGCGUUAGGUGUAUCGACGACCACGAGUCGUCGAGGUGCCGAAGGGAAACCGUGAAACGUGCCGCCUGGGAAGUACGGUCGCAAGGCUGAAACUUAAAGGAAUUGGCGGGGGGAGGCACCACAACAGGUGGAGCCUGCGGUUUAAUUGGACUCAACGCCGGAAAUCUCACCGGAUAAGACAGCAGAAUGAUUGCCGGGCUGAAGACUCUGCAUGACUAGCUGAGAGGAGGUGCAUGGCGUCAGUGACU